Molecule: long non-coding RNA, 1810 nt
Filed under: Phoenix dactylifera (date palm)
Lineage: Eukaryota; Viridiplantae; Streptophyta; Magnoliopsida; Arecales; Arecaceae
Description: long non-coding RNA (PDAC_LNC002165)
Source: RNAcentral
GGAAGGGCUUAUUGGUCUGCUGAUAGUCUUGGUGAUGCCAAAAAUGACGUACUCACAUAGAGAAUUCGUGUCGGAGCCCAGAGGAGUAGUCGGACUGGCGUGCCCAACACACAACUAGUUUUGCCCGCAUAAUAUUUUUCUGGCGAGGUAGGGGCCCAGUGAGGGCUGCUAUGCGGAGGUCGGCUUGUCCCAUCUUCCAUCCCUUCCUCUUUGUCUAAUAAGCAGCAAAAAAAAAAGAAAGUGCGGAAUAAAUUAUAUUUAAAGGAAGGAAUGAUUUAUUAUUCUGAUAUUUUAAAGAGAGUGGAAGGGGGAGUAGGUUUGCUCGGCUAGAAUAGAGAGGUGAGUGGAUGUGGAAGGGAAAUGCUUGGGGGCCUGGGGCUUGGAAUGGGAAGUUGACGGGGGAAUAAAACUUUUGCAAGGGUUAAAUAGCUAGGUAUGUAUACAUUGAACAUUACGGGAAGAAUGGGUUUCUAUGGAAGAGGUUGGUGGGGUACGAUCGAUGUGAUCGAUGUUGGGUCGGCCAAUGAGCACGGUUCUAAUAUCUAAUGAUGAUGUGGGUGGGAUCUAGAAGCCAAGGAGGGAUGCGAUGGUUCUAAUAUCAAGGCAAGAAUCCACGUUGGAACAACAUAAAGCUAGCAUGAUGGACGUCCGACGGCCGAUCUACACUGCACUGCGUGAAUCACAUUUCAUUUUGCUUCAUGGUUAGGCAUCAGCUAUAUUCGAUAUGUUCUUUCCAUUAGCUUGGGGUUCGUGAUGCAUGCAAAUAGAUUCUUUUUGCUGCUUCAUGCACACAAAUUUUGCCAGCUUCCUGCGCGUGUAUAUAGAAAACUUAGAACUUGUUUAACAUGACUUCUAUUUCUUAAUUUUUUUUAAAAAUAAAAUUACAAAAAUCAAGGCUACAAAAUAUAUUUGGUGCUAUUAUUUUAUUUUUCUUAUUAUUUUAAAAAAUAUUUUUAAAAAUUAAAAUAGAGAUUUUUUUAUCAAGAAACUAAUCUAUUUUACAAUCACCACCAAUGCUAACUCUAUUAUUGUUACCACUGCCGCUAAUGUCGUUUUUACUAUUGUCACCCCUAUCGUCUCUGCCAUAGCAUCUUGUCAGUCAUGGUCUCUAUUACUACUUUUACAAUACCACCACAAUCAUCAUCACCAUUACAAUUAGAUUAAAUGAGUGAAUUAUGAAAAUUCUAUUAAGUUUUACAUUUAUUAUAGUUGCAUACAAUAGUCUGUAAAAUUUAUAUUUGCAUCCAGUUAAAUUAACUAUGCUACUAAAACUGUUUACCUCAUAUAAAAAGUUGAAAUUACAUUUAAGUGAGAAGGAGGAUAUAGAAUAGUUUUCCUUAUAUUGGAUGAUUGUUCUAUCUUUUAGAAAAAAACAAUAAGGGUUAUGCAACAAGAUAACGGACCUUGCAUCUUGAAUUUUCAAUUUUUCUUAAUACAAGUGCAUUUCUUUCGCCUUCAUCAUACAAAGUUAAAUUAAUUGUUUAAUCCAAAUAUUCAGGUCGUGAAAGAAAAUAAACACCCCGUGAUCUCAUGAAGAGAAUAGAUUGCUUUUCAGAGGGAAAAGCCAAGAUCAAGUCUACGUAAGAUAACAUGACACCGCUUUAGGAAUUUUUCAGCAAAAUAUUUCAUGCAAUUAUCCAAAUACGAGUACCAGAAACCCCAAGUCUAUCCAUAGCAUAUGGUCACGAAUAAAAAUAAUUAAAAGUUCGUAAAUCAAAUGGAGUGUUUUGACGGGGUUACCUCGCUCGCCUUGGACUCACCAACCGUGCUCGCCCACGGAGAUUAGUACGUGUCGCAACGUGACUUGACU